Molecule: long non-coding RNA, 873 nt
Organism: Gorilla gorilla gorilla (western lowland gorilla)
Lineage: Eukaryota; Metazoa; Chordata; Mammalia; Primates; Hominidae
Exons: 2
Source: RefSeq, a predicted model, not a curated record
AUGUGGGAAUAUGUAAUUAAUUUUUAUACUUUCCCCAGUAAACCAUCGACCCUUUUUAUGAUGUCAUGAGGGAUUCCUUAAUUUUGCAGCUGCUUCCUGAUUACGUCAGAGAGGAGCCUGUCACCCCACAGCCUGGAGCUGUACUCAUACAAGAAUUGGAAACAAAUGAAGUGCCGAAUAUCUAAUGGCUUCCACAGGGAGCGCCAGUUCAGACUUCCCAGGCCUCCUCUUGCUAGGUCUUCCUCAAGUAUUUCUGACCCCCUGAAGUGUCUUUGUUCUGGAAAGACAGGACUUGGCCCAGAGCCAAGAGGGAGGGAGCCUGGAGACUCCUUGACACAUACCUCUCUCCCUCCAGGUGUUUUGCAGUCCUGAGUUUCUUCCCCCUUACUUGGAUCUUGUUUGGUUGUACAGGAAGCAUUUCGGCUUCUAGGGAGGCCUAAGGAAGGCUACAAUCAUGGCAGAAGGCGAGAGGGGAGCAGGCACUUUACAUGGCGAAAGCAGGAGCAAAGAGUGGGGCAGUCCCACCUACUUUUCAAGGACCAGAUCUUGCAAGAAUUCAGCCACUACCACAGAGACAGCACCCAAGCCCUGAGGGAUCCACCCUACCAUCCAGACACCUCCCACCAGGCCCCAUCUCCAGCAGUGGGGAUUACAAUUCGACGUGAGAUUUGGGUGGGGACAAAUAUUCCACCAUGUCACUUGGCUGUAUCAGUUUAGGGAAAUGUUAUGACUUGCUUUACACUCAGUCAGCUUCUGUUUUGCCAUUGUGCAUGAAUAAUUUGCUUGGGUGUAUUAGUGCCUGAUUCUGCUGACUCAUUCGUUCUGCUCCUCAGGGAAUAAAAUGAUGAAAAGACAUCUCUGCCUUUGCUCUGA